Cucumis sativus (cucumber) is the source of this 794-nucleotide long non-coding RNA. RefSeq lists it as uncharacterized. The record is from RefSeq and is a predicted model, not a curated record. The transcript is spliced from 2 exons. NCBI's taxonomy places the organism in Eukaryota, Viridiplantae, Streptophyta, Magnoliopsida, Cucurbitales, Cucurbitaceae.
AAAAUAGAACUUUUCCGCUUCAUUUCUUGCCAUAUUCUCCUCUACUUUGGUGGGGCUACAGUGAACGUUGCCUUUGCAUUGCCCUUCUUCAAUUUUCGUUUGGACGUCGGAGCAUGCAUUCUUGUGGCAGUCGAACAGUGUAAACCUCUCCUUGCGCCUUUUUCUUCGUAAUUCAUUGUAAAUCUCUCUUCGAAUGAAUGUAGGUGACACAAUGGUGGACGUGGAAGCACGCAUUUCUAUUGCCUUUCUUCGUGACUCAGCUGUCAUAGUUCAGUUUCUUUGCCAAAUCUCGAUAGCCACCACAUAACUACCACAUGUUCUAGAAAACUGGAAAUCUGAAGCAGCAUGUUGUUCCAAGGCUGAAGCCUAUUCUUUUGUAAAUGGAGACAUCAAUUGUUGCAACAAGACCUGUUUGGGCAUAAUACACGAAGUUCAAAACCCACGGAAGAUUACUAACCAAAGAAAGAGAAUGUAUUACUAAAAGCAUACCCUCUAGCAGAGGAAAGGCAGCAUCUAUUAAUUCCAUCUUUACACCAUUCAAAGCCUCAGUUGCAGAGUCGAUAUCAAGCAUGUGCAGAAUUACUGGUUGAUCAGAGCCUAGCGACCACCCUUGCAAUUAUUGGAAAAAUUACAUAACCAAUUUGGUUUGUACCAUAAAAAGGAAAGCAAAAUUCCUCGAAUACAAUAAAAAUUACUUGUUGCUGGGUUUAUAACUUCUAAAUGAUAAGAGCAUAAAUGAUAAUAUGUAAAGAUAAAAUGUAAGAGCAUAAAUGAUAAAAACAACUUUGUCUCCA